CAAUUUAGUUAUUGGGUAAGUAUCCUAUCGGGCUUUUUAGGCUAAUGACUAUAAAUUAUAAGGAGUACUGUUAAUGGCCCGUAUCGCUGGCAUUAACAUCCCUGAG
Molecule: regulatory RNA element, 106 nt
Organism: Paraglaciecola psychrophila 170
Lineage: Bacteria; Pseudomonadati; Pseudomonadota; Gammaproteobacteria; Alteromonadales; Alteromonadaceae
Rfam family: Alpha operon ribosome binding site
About the family: The bacterial alpha operon ribosome binding site is surrounded by this complex pseudoknotted structure. Translation of the mRNA produces 4 ribosomal protein products, one of which (S4) acts as a translational repressor by binding to the nested pseudoknot region. The mechanism of repression is thought to involve a conformational switch in the pseudoknot region and ribosome entrapment.
Source: Rfam